This 497-nucleotide ribosomal RNA is filed under the name uncultured bacterium. RNAcentral describes it as "partial 16S ribosomal RNA". It matches the Rfam family "Bacterial small subunit ribosomal RNA", at positions 28 to 507 of the family's 1533-position model. The record is from RNAcentral.
GAUGAACGCUGGCGGCGUGCCUAAUACAUGCAAGUCGAGCGAACGGACGAGAAGCUUGCUUCUCUGAUGUUAGCGGCGGACGGGUGAGUAACACGUGGAUAACCUACCUAUAAGACUGGGAUAACUUCGGGAAACCGGAGCUAAUACCGGAUAAUAUUUUGAACCGCAUGGUUCAAAAGUGAAAGACGGUCUUGCUGUCACUUAUAGAUGGAUCCGCGCUGCAUUAGCUAGUUGGUAAGGUAACGGCUUACUAAGGCAACGAUGCAUAGCCGACCUGAGAGGGUGAUCGGACACACUUGAACUGAGACACGGUCCCGACUCCUACGGUCGGCAGCAGUAGGGAAUCUUCCGCAAUGGGCGAACGCCUGACCGAGCAACGCCGCGUGCGUGAUGAAGGUCUUCGGAUCCUAAAACUCUGUUAUUAGGGAAGAACAUAUGUGUGAGUAACUGUGCACAUCUUGACGGUACCUAAUCAGAAAGCCACGGCUAACUUCGUG